This 397-nucleotide ribosomal RNA is filed under the name uncultured bacterium. RNAcentral describes it as "partial 16S ribosomal RNA". It matches the Rfam family "Bacterial small subunit ribosomal RNA", at positions 523 to 918 of the family's 1533-position model. The record is from RNAcentral.
AUACGUAGGGGGCGAGCGUUGUCCGGAAUGAUUGGGCGUAAAGGGCGCGUAGGCGGCCCGGUAAGUCUGGAGUGCAAGUCCUGUUUUUAAGAUGGGAAUUGCUUUGGAUACUGUCGGGCUUGAGUGCAGGAGUGGUAAGUGGAAUUCCCAGUGUAGCGGUGAAAUGCGUAGAUAUUGGGAGGAACACCAGUGGCGAAGGCGACUUACUGGACUGUAACUGACGCUAAGGCGCGAAAGUGUGAGGAGCAAACAGGAGUAGAGACCCUGGUAGUCCACACUGUAAACGGUGAGUGCUAGGUGGAAGUGGUAUCAACCCCUUGUGUGCCGGAGUCAACACAAUAAGAAUUCCGCCUGGGGAGUACGGCCGCAAGGUGGAAACUCAAAGGAAUUGACGGGG